RNAcentral lists this ribosomal RNA (495 nucleotides) under uncultured bacterium. Its description in RNAcentral is "partial 16S ribosomal RNA". It matches the Rfam family "Bacterial small subunit ribosomal RNA", at positions 28 to 507 of the family's 1533-position model. The record is from RNAcentral.
GACGAACGCUGGCGGCGUGCCUAAUACAUGCAAGUAGAACGCUGAAGGAGGAGCUUGCUUCUCUGGAUGAGUUGCGAACGGGUGAGUAACGCGUAGGUAACCUGCCUGGUAGCGGGGGAUAACUAUUGGAAACGAUAGCUAAUACCGCAUAAUAGUAGAUGUUGCAUGACAUUUACUUAAAAGGUGCAAUUGCAUCACUACCAGAUGGACCUGCGUUGUAUUAGCUAGUUGGUGGGGUAACGGCUCACCAAGGCGACGAUACAUAGCCGACCUGAGAGGGUGAUCGGCCAAACUGGGACUGAGACACGGCCCAGACUCCUAAGGGAGGCAGCAGGAGGGAAUCAUCGGCAAUGGACGGAAGUCUGAACGAGCAAAGACGCGUGAGUGAAGAAGGUUUUCGGAUCGGAAAGCUCUGUUGUAAGAGAAGAACGAGUGUGAGAGUGGAAAGUUCACACUGUGACGGUAUCUUACCAGAAAGGGACGGCUAACUACGUG